This is a long non-coding RNA of Raphanus sativus (radish), 2261 nucleotides long. RefSeq lists it as uncharacterized. Lineage: Eukaryota; Viridiplantae; Streptophyta; Magnoliopsida; Brassicales; Brassicaceae. The record is from RefSeq and is a predicted model, not a curated record. The transcript is spliced from 7 exons.
GGGACACGCGUCAUAAAUUCACGUUUCUCUUCUCUCUCUCGACGGAUGCUCUUCUCUCCUUAUCUCUUGACUCCUCGACGAAACCGACUGUCUCUGGUCAUCUCUCCUCGAAUCUUGUCUCUGUUUGAUCGGGCUCGGAUCCGCUUGAUGCAGGUCGGGACUGAUUGGCUGACACAACCACAUAGGUGCUUUUGCCUUAUUGGUUUGUAAGCAGGAAUUGGCUCCCGCCUUGCAUCAACUGAAUCGGAGCCUCCAAUGGUGAAACGAGUCCAAUUAGAUCUGGAGAACAGUUUGAUUCAAGAUCUAGGGUUUGGAUUCUUACAAUCCUCGUAUGAUUUGAUUUCUAAAGGUAGAGAACUAGGAUAAAAGAAAAAACGGUUUGACAAAUCCACUGUAUGAUAUGAUGAAGAUAGAGAUUACAUGAGCAAUCUCUUGUAUUGGUUUUCUCUAAGAAGGUUCAUCUAUGUUUUGAUUUAGCUUCUUGAUGAAAUCAAUGUUUAUCUCUAGUCUUAUUGUAGUAGAAACGCAGGUUUAAAGAUGUCCACUUCCAUCUCUUUAUUUCAUGACAGGCAUCAUCGGAGAUGGGUUGCAGGGAAACUGGAUCCUGACUUUGCAGGAAAGGAACUUGACUUAGUCACAUAGGCCGUGGGCACUACAAGCAUUAGGUGGAUGGGAGAAUGAGCUUGAUUACUGCCAAGAGCUCCUUGAAGCUGACGUCUUUAACAACUCCUUAUGGAAUCAGCAAGCGCGAAAGGUAUCUUAGCACACAUUGUGAGAACCACAUAUUAGACCAAUCAACUCUGUCUUUCCUCAAUCUUAAUUGCUCCCAUGUGUUUGUGGUUUUCUUCUCUCAUCAAGAACACGAGAAUCUUAACACGUUAUCAGCACGAUAGCCUCCAAACCACGAGCUCAACUUGAUCGAGAAAAACCCUAAAAACCCUAAUCCUUGACGAGACUUCAAACCGACGUAUCUCCAAAACGGUGAAGAAGCAGAAGACGAGCCACCUAUAAAACCGAAGCUCUUGAAGAGGAGAAUCCAGCGCUGCUGACCUCACCUCAUUCCGUGAUCAGACGCGCUCUCACCGCUAGUUACAAGCCGCGCCGUCAAUUGCUUAAAAACCCUAAUUCCGACGCAACUUCAAAUCGAUCGUUCUCUCAAACCGUAACGACCCAGACAACGUACCACAUACCAAUUUGAAGAUCUUGACAAGGAGAAUUCAGUGCCGCAAACCUCGCGACAAUCCGAUCAUAGACGCGUCCUCACGCUCAGCUUCAAUAUGCGCCGUCAAUUGAUCUAAAACCCUAAGCCGCAAAACCCUAAUCUCUUUCAUUGUUUUGUUAUGUGAUUUAUGUUUGAUCUUUAACCUAACUUGCUUUUACUCUUGUGUUUAAGGUAUUUAAGGCACGAGUUGUUCUUGCUAAACACAAGACAUAGAUUGAUAUCCUAGACCAAGAGCUUCCCUGAUUCACAACCAGCUCUUGACCUAAACCCAAAGCUAAGAUAUCAUCUCUCUAGCUUAAAGUUUCAUUCAAACGAUUUGUAUUGAUCUCAUACUAACUCGUUUUGACUCUUGUGUUUAAGGUUUAACCAAGAUCAAACUCCUGAUUCAUAAUACCAUUCAACCCAAUAGGAGGUUAAGGUUAUGUUUUAUAACCCAUACAAUGCUAAGAUCUCAAACAGGUUAUGCAUUCACGUUUUGGACAAGGAUGGAGAGUCCAAAGUACUUAGUUUACAUCAGUUUACACGUGAUGGUACUGCCUUACCUUUGCGGUCCAUGAGUUGCAAAGACAGACGAGUUACAAGUAGUACAAGUUCGAUUAGAAGAUUUACACGAUGGAAGGUUAUGCCUUUGCAACAAGAUGGUACUACUUAUCUACUUCAACUUGGCGGCCAUGAAGCUUCUUCAUCAGAGUUGGACGUGCCAAAUUGAAAGACACAUAUGGAGGUACAAAUCAGGGGGAGUGAUACAUGUUGUACUCUUUUUCCUAUCCAUGGCUUCCCUUUUUACCACAUUGGGUUUUGGGUUUACCAUGGAAAGGUUUUAAUGAGGCAACACCAAUUUAUUGGUAAAGUGUAUCACGAGCUCUAUAAGGAUUUGACAUCAGGGGGAGUGUUGUAAACCGAAUGGUUUAAUGGAUGUCUAAAUCCAAGUUUAUCCUUAUGAACAUCCCACAUCGCCUAUAUCCCUCUUAGGGUCGACCAUAUACUUUGUAUAUAUAUGUAUCUCCUCCUUAUUGUUAAAGAUAGACAAUACACAUUA